Molecule: ribosomal RNA, 755 nt
Filed under: uncultured bacterium
Lineage: Bacteria
Description: bacterial SSU rRNA
Rfam family: Bacterial small subunit ribosomal RNA
Source: RNAcentral
AGAGUUUGAUCUGGCUCAGAAUCAACGCUGGCGGCGCGCCUAACACAUGCAAGUCGAACGAGAAAGUGGGGCAAUCCAUGAGUACAGUGGCGUACGGGUGAGUAACACGUGGGUAAUCUACCUUUUAGUGAGGAAUAACCAAGGGAAACCAUGGCUAAUACCGCAUAAGCCUGAGAAGGGAAAGCAGCAAUGCGCUGAAAGAGGAGCCCGCGGCCGAUUAGCUAGUUGGCAGGGUAAAAGCCUACCAAGGCAGAGAUCGGUAGCCGGCCUGAGAGGGCACACGGCCACACUGGCACUGAAACACGGGCCAGACUCCUACGGGAGGCAGCAGUGGGGAAUCUCGCACAAUGGGGGAAACCCUGAUGCAGCGACGCCGCGUGAGCGAUGAAGCCCUUCGGGGUGUAAAGCUCUUUCGUCAGGGAAGAUAGUGACGGUACCUGGAGAAGCAGCUGCGGCUAACUACGUGCCAGCAGCCGCGGUAAUACGUAGGCAGCAAGCGUUGUUCGGAGUUACUGGGCGUAAAGGGUGUGUAGGCGGUUCUUUAAGUUUGCUGUGAAAUCUCCCGGCUUAACCGGGAGGGUGCGGUGAAUACUGAGGGACUAGAGUACGGGAGAGGAAAGUGGAAUUCCUGGUGUAGCGGUGAAAUGCGUAGAUAUCAGGAGGAACACCGGUGGUGUAGACGGCUUUCUGGACCGUAACUGACGCUGAGACACGAAAGCGUGGGUAGCAAACAGGAUUAGAUACCCUAGUAGUCC